RNAcentral lists this ribosomal RNA (490 nucleotides) under Scutellastra longicosta. Its description in RNAcentral is "partial 16S ribosomal RNA". It matches the Rfam family "Bacterial large subunit ribosomal RNA", at positions 1807 to 2595 of the family's 2925-position model. The record is from RNAcentral. Lineage: Eukaryota; Metazoa; Mollusca; Gastropoda; Patellidae.
UCAAAAACAUGGCUCUCUGUGCUAAAGAGAUAGGGAGUCUCGCCUGCUCAAUGAUGUUCUCAUUAAAUAGCCGCAGUAUCCUGACUGCGUGAAAGUAGCAUAAUAAUUUGCCUUUUAAUUGGUGGCUGGUAUCAACGGUAUCAUGAGGGUGAAGCUGUCUCUUAUUUAUUCUAUUGAAUUUACCUACUAGGUGAAAAGGCCUAGAUAAUUUUAUAAGACAAGAAGACCCUGUCAAGCUUUACAAAAUAAAAUUUAUUUUAUGUCUUUGUUUGGUUGGGGCAACCGGGGGGCACAUAAAAUCCCUCCUUUUUUCCUACCUUUCUAGGGAUGAUCCGCAUUAGCGAUCUAAGGAAAAAGCUACUGCAGGGAUAACAGCGUAAUUUUCUUUGUGAGUUCUUAUUUUAAAGAAAGUUUGCGACCUCGAUGUUGGAUUAGGGUAUCCUGAAGGUGCAGAAGCUUUCAAGGGUUGGUUUGUUCAACCAUUAAAACC